RNAcentral lists this ribosomal RNA (486 nucleotides) under uncultured bacterium. Its description in RNAcentral is "bacterial SSU rRNA". It matches the Rfam family "Bacterial small subunit ribosomal RNA", at positions 355 to 858 of the family's 1533-position model. The record is from RNAcentral.
UGGGGAAUAUUGCGCAAUGGGGGAAACCCUGACGCAGCCAUGCCGCGUGAGUGAAGAAGGUCUUCGGAUCGUAAAGCUCUUUCAACGGUGAAGAUGAUGACGGUAGCCGGAGAAGAAGCCCCGGCUAACUCCGUGCCAGCAGCCGCGGUAAUACGGAGGGGGCUAGCGUUGUUCGGAAUUACUGGGCGUAAAGCGCGCGUAGGCGGACUGAUCAGUCAGGGGUGAAAUCCCGGGGCUCAACCCCGGAACUGCCUUUGAUACUGUCAGUCUUGAGUCCGGAAGAGGCGAGUGGAAUACCGAGUGUAGAGGUGAAAUUCGUAGAUAUUUGGAGGAACACCAGUGGCGAAGGCGGCUCACUGGCUCGAUACUGACGCUGAGGUGCGAAAGUGUGGGGAGCAAACAGGAUUAGAUACCCUGGUAGUCCACGCCGUAAACGAUGUCUACUAGCCGUUGGGGUACUUGAGACCUUAGUGGCGCAGCUAACGC